This 67-nucleotide transfer RNA is filed under the name Scaphoideus maai. RNAcentral's name for it is "tRNA-Arg". Lineage: Eukaryota; Metazoa; Arthropoda; Insecta; Hemiptera; Cicadellidae. The record is from RNAcentral.
AACAAAGAAGUAAAAAAAUUUACAUCUAAUUUCGACCUAGAUAUAAGGAAACAUAUUCCUCAUGUUU